Potamilus streckersoni is the source of this 73-nucleotide non-coding RNA. The record is from the annotation of a GenBank genome assembly. NCBI's taxonomy places the organism in Eukaryota, Metazoa, Mollusca, Bivalvia, Unionida, Unionidae.
UUCUUGUGGACUAGUGGUUUGAGCAUCCACCUCUGAUGUGGGAGGUCGCAGGUUCAAACCCCAGCCAAGUCAU